AAAAAGAACACUCACAUAGCACAUUUAGAAACCAUAAGUACCACUGUUUGUGAGAUAAUCAUUACCAAGAUAUGUAUAAUCCAGAUACAAAUGACACCAUAAUCAUGCUUCUGCUAGUUUUAAUCGUGGGACAAUGUUCAUUGACUGGAGCUCUUGAAAUAGGAGUUUGCAUGCAUAAGGCAACUUCAUCGUAGAUAUAUUUUCCCCGUUCUUGCACAUAGAACAAAUGCCAGUCUUCAGCUUGUAGUUGUAAUAUCCCAAUAAACCACAUUUUCUGCAAACUUGAACCUCAAAUGGGUCACUAGAAAUCAUCAGGCGCUCGUAUAUCAACAUACUGGCACCAUAUGCAAUCAAACAAUCACGUUCCAUU
This 370-nucleotide unclassified non-coding RNA is filed under the name Hevea brasiliensis (rubber tree). Lineage: Eukaryota; Viridiplantae; Streptophyta; Magnoliopsida; Malpighiales; Euphorbiaceae. The record is from RNAcentral.